AUUGAACGCUGGCGGCAGGCCUAACACAUGCAAGUCGAACGGUAGCACAGAGAGCUUGCUCUCGGGUGACGAGUGGCGGACGGGUGAGUAAUGUCUGGGAAACUGCCCGAUGGAGGGGGAUAACUACUGGAAACGGUAGCUAAUACCGCAUAACGUCGCAAGACCAAAGUGGGGGACCUUCGGGCCUCACACCAUCGGAUGUGCCCAGAUGGGAUUAGCUAGUAGGUGGGGUAAUGGCUCACCUAGGCGACGAUCCCUAGCUGGUCUGAGAGGAUGACCAGCCACCCUGGAACUGGGACACGGUCCAGACUCCUACGGGAGGCAGCAGUGGGGAAUAUUGCACAAUGGGCGCAAGCCUUAUGCAGCCAUGCCGCGUGUAUGAAGAAGGCCUUCGGGUUGUAAAGUACUUUCAGCGGGGAGGAAGGCGGUGAAGUUAAUAACUUCACCGAUUGACGUUACCCGCAGAAGAAGCACCGGCUAACUCCGUGCCAGCCGCCGCGGUAA
RNAcentral lists this ribosomal RNA (504 nucleotides) under uncultured bacterium. RNAcentral describes it as "partial 16S ribosomal RNA". It matches the Rfam family "Bacterial small subunit ribosomal RNA", at positions 30 to 523 of the family's 1533-position model. The record is from RNAcentral.